CAGUUGUGAAUUCAUUAUAAUGUGCCUGUAUAAACUCGUAUACCUUACCUUAUUGAGACAAAACUGAGUUAAUUUUGUAUUACUAGAAUGGAUGUGGAAUGUUCAUGAAGAGCGCGCAAAUAAAUCGCUUUGAUUGAUUCAUCGGAUCUUGAACAAAUCAAGCCUACAAUCCGGAUGUUUGAUGCUGGCUCUGGCAGACAAUAACUUUCCAUGGGUUUUACAGAGAGAGGACAGGAGACCCUCUCCGUCAGCAACACCAAGAUCACGACCAGGAGAAGAACACGUUCAGCUGAGACCUUAGUAAUUGUUAACGUGUGUAAACUCUGGAAGAAAAGAAAGCAGGAUGAAUUAUGGCUCCAGGAAGUGUGAUGGAAGAGUUUGUGAAACAUUCGGUCGGUCCU
Long non-coding RNA from Oncorhynchus tshawytscha (Chinook salmon), 401 nucleotides. NCBI's taxonomy places the organism in Eukaryota, Metazoa, Chordata, Actinopteri, Salmoniformes, Salmonidae. The record is from Ensembl.